This 1554-nucleotide ribosomal RNA is filed under the name Klebsiella pneumoniae. RNAcentral's name for it is "bacterial SSU rRNA". It matches the Rfam family "Bacterial small subunit ribosomal RNA". Lineage: Bacteria; Pseudomonadati; Pseudomonadota; Gammaproteobacteria; Enterobacterales; Enterobacteriaceae. The record is from RNAcentral.
ACUUAAAUUGAAGAGUUUGAUCAUGGCUCAGAUUGAACGCUGGCGGCAGGCCUAACACAUGCAAGUCGAGCGGUAGCACAGAGAGCUUGCUCUCGGGUGACGAGCGGCGGACGGGUGAGUAAUGUCUGGGAAACUGCCUGAUGGAGGGGGAUAACUACUGGAAACGGUAGCUAAUACCGCAUAAUGUCGCAAGACCAAAGUGGGGGACCUUCGGGCCUCAUGCCAUCAGAUGUGCCCAGAUGGGAUUAGCUAGUAGGUGGGGUAACGGCUCACCUAGGCGACGAUCCCUAGCUGGUCUGAGAGGAUGACCAGCCACACUGGAACUGAGACACGGUCCAGACUCCUACGGGAGGCAGCAGUGGGGAAUAUUGCACAAUGGGCGCAAGCCUGAUGCAGCCAUGCCGCGUGUGUGAAGAAGGCCUUCGGGUUGUAAAGCACUUUCAGCGGGGAGGAAGGCGUUAAGGUUAAUAACCUUGGCGAUUGACGUUACCCGCAGAAGAAGCACCGGCUAACUCCGUGCCAGCAGCCGCGGUAAUACGGAGGGUGCAAGCGUUAAUCGGAAUUACUGGGCGUAAAGCGCACGCAGGCGGUCUGUCAAGUCGGAUGUGAAAUCCCCGGGCUCAACCUGGGAACUGCAUUCGAAACUGGCAGGCUAGAGUCUUGUAGAGGGGGGUAGAAUUCCAGGUGUAGCGGUGAAAUGCGUAGAGAUCUGGAGGAAUACCGGUGGCGAAGGCGGCCCCCUGGACAAAGACUGACGCUCAGGUGCGAAAGCGUGGGGAGCAAACAGGAUUAGAUACCCUGGUAGUCCACGCCGUAAACGAUGUCGAUUUGGAGGUUGUGCCCUUGAGGCGUGGCUUCCGGAGCUAACGCGUUAAAUCGACCGCCUGGGGAGUACGGCCGCAAGGUUAAAACUCAAAUGAAUUGACGGGGGCCCGCACAAGCGGUGGAGCAUGUGGUUUAAUUCGAUGCAACGCGAAGAACCUUACCUGGUCUUGACAUCCACAGAACUUUCCAGAGAUGGAUUGGUGCCUUCGGGAACUGUGAGACAGGUGCUGCAUGGCUGUCGUCAGCUCGUGUUGUGAAAUGUUGGGUUAAGUCCCGCAACGAGCGCAACCCUUAUCCUUUGUUGCCAGCGGUUCGGCCGGGAACUCAAAGGAGACUGCCAGUGAUAAACUGGAGGAAGGUGGGGAUGACGUCAAGUCAUCAUGGCCCUUACGACCAGGGCUACACACGUGCUACAAUGGCAUAUACAAAGAGAAGCGACCUCGCGAGAGCAAGCGGACCUCAUAAAGUAUGUCGUAGUCCGGAUUGGAGUCUGCAACUCGACUCCAUGAAGUCGGAAUCGCUAGUAAUCGUAGAUCAGAAUGCUACGGUGAAUACGUUCCCGGGCCUUGUACACACCGCCCGUCACACCAUGGGAGUGGGUUGCAAAAGAAGUAGGUAGCUUAACCUUAGGGAGGGCGCUUACCACUUUGUGAUUCAUGACUGGGGUGAAGUCGUAACAAGGUAACCGUAGGGGAACCUGCGGUUGGAUCACCUCCUUACCUUAAAGAA